AUGAAAAAAAACUACAGUACAACUCUGAAAUCAAUAAGAUGGAGCUCGUUUCCCCUGGCUAGUCAUAGUGAUAGUAACUUAGGUGAUAACAUAUCACGUCUCAAGACAAAUUUGCUUAUGUACCAUGAAGUUAAUGAGGAGAGAGAUGCUUGUGGUAACAUAAAGCCCUUCCCUGGACAGGUGCUACGCAUGCCACAUAAGCGAAAAAAUGACAUGACACAACAUUUAAGGAGAAGAGAGAGCACUUUGGUGACCCCAGCAAGAACAAAUGUCAAGCGCAAGAACCUAGACAAAUCACUUAAAUGA
This 306-nucleotide ribosomal RNA is filed under the name Triticum aestivum (bread wheat). RNAcentral's name for it is "partial small subunit ribosomal RNA". Lineage: Eukaryota; Viridiplantae; Streptophyta; Magnoliopsida; Poales; Poaceae. The record is from RNAcentral.